GUGUUGUAUGAAAGGAGAGAAGGUUAGCACUCCCCCUUGAUAAGGAUGGAAGAGGCCCUU
RNAcentral lists this small nuclear RNA (60 nucleotides) under Melopsittacus undulatus (budgerigar). Lineage: Eukaryota; Metazoa; Chordata; Aves; Psittaciformes; Psittaculidae. The record is from RNAcentral.